GAUGGGUAUGGAAUUUUGUCUUGGGGUGUGAGAAAUUUUGGAUGGGUGCGAGAUGUCGCGUGGAGAGGGCGCGAGUCAAAUUCCAAUGCAUCCCAUCGCUAACUAUUUAAAGGGGGCUGCAUCCGGAAUUCAUUUCAUUCAGAUUUCUAAUUCCAUCUCUUCUUUUUAAUAUGCUCUCUCUAUUGUCCAAUUAGUUUCUUUCUUCCCUUGUUAGGACAAGUCCAAAAAUAGUAAGGACAAGUCUGAUUUUAAGAUAAGGGCUUAUAAAGAGAUAUAAGGAAGACAAGGAGACUAGAAAAGUAGAGAUAGGAAGGCU
Molecule: long non-coding RNA, 316 nt
Filed under: Elaeis guineensis (African oil palm)
Lineage: Eukaryota; Viridiplantae; Streptophyta; Magnoliopsida; Arecales; Arecaceae
Description: long non-coding RNA (EGUI_LNC034542)
Source: RNAcentral